RNAcentral lists this ribosomal RNA (495 nucleotides) under uncultured bacterium. Its description in RNAcentral is "partial 16S ribosomal RNA". It matches the Rfam family "Bacterial small subunit ribosomal RNA", at positions 28 to 507 of the family's 1533-position model. The record is from RNAcentral.
GACGAACGCUGGCGGCGUGCCUAAUACAUGCAAGUAGAACGCUGAAGGAGGAGCUUGCUUCUCUGGAUGAGUUGCUAACGGGUGAGUAACUCGUAGGUAACCUGCCUGGUAGCGGGGGAUAACUAUUGGAAACGAUAGCUAAUACCGCAUAACAGUAGAUAUCGCAUGAUAUCUACUUGAAAGGUGCAAUUGCAUCACUACCAGAUGGACCUGAGUUGUAUUAGCUAGUUGGUGAGGUAACGGCUCACCAAGGCGACGAUACAUAGGCGACCUGAGAGGGUGAACGGGCAAAACGGGGAUGGAGCAAGGGCCAGACUUCUAAGGGAGGGAGCAGUAGGGAAACUUUGGAAAAGGAGGGAAGGCUGGAUGAGGAAAGGCGGGGGAGUGAAGGAGGGUUUCGGAGUGUAAAGCGACGUUGGAAGAGGAGAAAGAGGGUGAGAGUGGAAAGUUCACACGGUGACGGUAUCUGAACAGAAAGGGACGGCUAACUACGUG